This 329-nucleotide unclassified non-coding RNA is filed under the name soil metagenome. RNAcentral describes it as "partial contains 5.8S ribosomal RNA, internal transcribed spacer 2, and large subunit ribosomal RNA". The stretch from base 1 to 119 matches the Rfam family "5.8S ribosomal RNA", at positions 35 to 154 of the family's 154-position model. The record is from RNAcentral.
GAUGAAGAACGCAGCAAAUGCGAUAAGUAAUGUGAAUUGCAGAAUUCAGUGAAUCAUCGAAUCUUUGAACGCACAUUGCGCCCUCUGGUAUUCCGGGGGGCAUGCCUGUUCGAGCGUCAUUAUAACCACUCAAGCUCUCGCUUGGUAUUGGGGUUCGCGGUUUCGCGGCCCCUAAAAUCAGUGGCGGUGCCUGUCGGCUCUACGCGUAGUAAUACUCCUCGCGAUUGAGUCCGGUAGGUCUACUUGCCAGCAACCCCUAAUUUUUUUAAGGUUGACCUCGGAUCAGGUAGGGAUACCCGCUGAACUUAAGCAUAUCAAUAAGCGGAGGA